GUGGAGCAGGGUCAUGGAGUGAUGGCGCCGUGUGGAAUCUGCCGUAGGGAAUGGAGCAGAAUCGCGGCCGUUACUGCAGUGCGCCAGGGGGCGAAGGUCUACCGGCUGAAGUCCGAUGGGAGUGUCUGGCGGAGAGAGGUAGUUAGCCAUCUGUCCAAGAGGAGCUUGGAAUCCAGCUUUCACAGGAGUUCGGAUGGAGUUUCCCUUCAGUC
Molecule: long non-coding RNA, 212 nt
Filed under: Elaeis guineensis (African oil palm)
Lineage: Eukaryota; Viridiplantae; Streptophyta; Magnoliopsida; Arecales; Arecaceae
Description: long non-coding RNA (EGUI_LNC060383)
Source: RNAcentral